RNAcentral lists this ribosomal RNA (252 nucleotides) under uncultured bacterium. RNAcentral describes it as "partial 16S ribosomal RNA". It matches the Rfam family "Bacterial small subunit ribosomal RNA", at positions 524 to 776 of the family's 1533-position model. The record is from RNAcentral.
UACGUAGGUGGCAAGCGUUGUCCGGAAUUAUUGGGCGUAAAGCGCGCGCAGGCGGUUUUUUAAGUCUGGGGUUUAAGUUCGGGGCUCAACCCCGUAUCGCCCUGGAAACUGGGGAACUGGAGUGCAGGAGAGGAAAGUGGAAUUCCACGUGUAGCGGUGAAAUGCGUAGAGAUGUGGAGGAACACCAGUGGCGAAGGCGACUCUUUGGCCUGUAACUGACGCUGAGGCGCGAAAGCGUGGGGAGCAAACAGG